GCCUCUCUGAAAAAGUAUGCAUUCAUUUUUUUCUUCUUAGUCAUCUCAUUUGUGCAUGUACAUGAGCAAAAAGUACUUUUCAUUCUUUCCUUCUCAUUCAUUAUUUUCUUAUCAUUCAUCUCAUUCUUUUCUUAUCAUUCAUACCAUUUGUGCAUUCAUUAAUUUUAUUUUCAUUCAUCUCAUUCUUUUCUUUUCAUUCAUCUCUAGAAACCUUACUGUUACAAUCUCUCUAUCAAAGUUUCAACCUUUGCAAAUAUUUUAAGUUUUAAUUUUAUAGAGUAGGGUUUGGCAUGCACAAUUACACCAUGGUCCUAACCGUCAUACCUCAAAAUU
RNAcentral lists this long non-coding RNA (333 nucleotides) under Lathyrus oleraceus (garden pea). Its description in RNAcentral is "Pisum sativum (pea) long non-coding RNA (PSAT_LNC016336)". Lineage: Eukaryota; Viridiplantae; Streptophyta; Magnoliopsida; Fabales; Fabaceae. The record is from RNAcentral.